Molecule: ribosomal RNA, 443 nt
Filed under: uncultured bacterium
Lineage: Bacteria
Description: partial 16S ribosomal RNA
Rfam family: Bacterial small subunit ribosomal RNA
Source: RNAcentral
CCUACGGGAGGCAGCAGUGGGGAAUCUUGGACAAUGGGGGGAACCCUGAUCCAGCGACGCCGCGUGAGUGAAGAAGUAUUUCGGUAUGUAAAGCUCUAUCAGCAGGGAAGAAAGAAAUGACGGUUCCUGACUCAGAAGCCGCGGCUAACUACGUGCCAGCAGCCGCCGUACUACGUAGGGGGCAAGCGUUAUCCGGAUUUACGGGGUGUAAAGGGAGCGUAGACGGUUACGCAAGUCUGGGGUGAAAGGCGGGGGCCCAACCCCCGGACUGCUUUGGAAACUGUAUAACUGGAGUGCAGGAGAGGUAAGUGGAAUUCCUAGUGUAGCGGUGAAAUGCGUAGAUAUUAGGAGGAACACCAGUGGCGAAGGCGGCUUACUGGACUGUAACUGACGUCGAGGCUCGAAAGCGUGGGGAGCAAACAGGAUUAGAUACCCUUGUAGUC